RNAcentral lists this transfer RNA (72 nucleotides) under Phrynosoma platyrhinos (Desert horned lizard). RNAcentral describes it as "tRNA-OTHER". The record is from RNAcentral. Lineage: Eukaryota; Metazoa; Chordata; Lepidosauria; Squamata; Phrynosomatidae.
ACCAGUGUGGCGUAGUGGAUUAAGUGCUGGACUACAACUCUGGAGACCAGAGUUCAAUUCCCAGCUUGGCCA